UACGGGGGGGAGCAAGCGUUGUUCGGAUUUACUGGGCGUAAAGGGCGCGUAGGCGGCGUGACAAGUCACUUGUGAAAUCUCCGGGCUUAACUCGGAACGGUCAAGUGAUACUGUCGUGCUAGAGUACAGAAGGGGCAACUGGAAUUCUCGGUGUAGCGGUGAAAUGCGUAGAUAUCGAGAGGAACACCUGCGGCGAAGGCGGGUUGCUGGGCUGACACUGACGCUGAUGCGCGAAAGCUAGGGGAGCGAACGGG
Molecule: ribosomal RNA, 254 nt
Filed under: uncultured bacterium
Lineage: Bacteria
Description: partial 16S ribosomal RNA
Rfam family: Bacterial small subunit ribosomal RNA
Source: RNAcentral